AUUGAACGCUGGCGGUAUGCUUAAGACAUGCAAGUCGUGCGGUAGAAGGCUUCGGCCUUUGAGAGCGGCGGACGGGUGAGCAACACGUGGGAAUCUGCCUAUUAGUGGGGGACAGCCCAGCGAAAGCUGGAUUAAUACCGCAUACGCCUACGGGGGAAAGGCAGCAAUGCGCUAAUAGAUGAGCCGCGUAAGAUUAGCUAGUUGGUAAGGUAAAGGCCUACCAAGCCGACGAUCUGUAGCUGGUCUGAGAGGACGACCAGCCACACUGGGACUGAGACACGGCCCAGACUCCUACGGGAGGCAGCAGUGGGGAAUUUUGGACAAUGGACGCAAGUCUGAUCCAGCAAUGCCGCGUGCAGGACGAAGGCCUUC
This 372-nucleotide ribosomal RNA is filed under the name uncultured bacterium. RNAcentral describes it as "bacterial SSU rRNA". It matches the Rfam family "Bacterial small subunit ribosomal RNA", at positions 30 to 419 of the family's 1533-position model. The record is from RNAcentral.